GCGUUUCGUUUCCGUGUGUGUUGUGUUCACGAAUCGGUGUUUCGAAUCCGUCUUAGUUUGUGUCACGUUACCUCCCUUGGUACUUCUUGCCGCGGUCCCGCUAGUUCCCCUUCCACCGCUACCGGAUGAGGUUCAUGCGGCCGUUCCGGGUCCGGUUCGGACGGGGAUCGCAGUGAUGUCGUGUGCGGAUGGUCGGGUCCAUGGGAAGAAGGUAGCUGCGGUGGCACUCGCGGGGGAUGCGGCGGCGGCCACUACAGCUGCUCUCCCAGUGCCGCAAGUAUGACAGGCAGGCUCUCGCGAAGUUCUUGUUCGUCUUCUACUACUCAAUCAACUCGAGGUAGUACCGGCCAGUCCAGUCAGGUCCGAGGCCCUCUCCAAAAUAUAAACUACCUUGUAGAAGACCCAUCGGUACCUAUGUAUGUACACAGAUUCACCAUAUGGUACAUGAAAAGGGAAAAGGGGGAGGAAAACGUUGAAGUGAAACAGGUAUUCUCACCCUUCUUACCCUAUUAUUGUAUUAGGGGUAAAGACUUUUAUACGAGCCUACAGUUAUACUAGGAAGUAGUUUCAACUCAAACACACAACAAGUAAAAACAACGGGCUGUCAAGUAGAGCUGACACAUUUCCUAGAAUUUUAAAGUCAAGUAAAAACCUACAGCUUUUGAGGAAAUGUUCACCGCAUUGUUUUAUCAUUUUUUUAGUAAAUGUUUGUAAGGUAGAACAAAAACGAACUUUGACAUUUUUAUUCGUUAGCAGACCAAGGGUAGGUUGAGGUGGCAAACCUCCUUCGUGGUAUGAAUUUGGUCUAAAAAUUAUAUUUUGAACCGAACAUAUAAAGUUACUACCCGAAGCAGUUUAACAGGAUCCAAAAGCACUCGUUCGUUCAACCUACGUGUGGGUGAAUCAAAGAAAACAACUCGAAAGUAUGUGAAUAUCGAGAACACGUAAGUAACGUACUGUUAGGGAUCAUUGAGUGUAACUAUAGAUAACUACACGUAGAGGUAUCGGGUAACUAUGCGGAUCAACUACACUCUGAUAGAAAGAGAAAAAAACGGAAGAGGUGUUAGUGGUAAGAUAAGGUGGAUAUCACAAUACAAGUACCGGGCGCGAGUAUAUAACGCACUUUCAACUUUUUCAAACUCUUAUGAUUUCAUACUUUGUUAACGAACCGAUCAGUAGCCCCAACACGUACUAACUUCGUAAAACACACUGUUUUUACUUCAUAUCGGUUUGAUAUACUAAAACAUCCCUACUCGAAAGAAACCGAUACAAUAAAACUCUUCUGUAUUAACGAACCAAUCGUACGAAAUUCAUAAUAAUAAAAAUACAGUUAUAAUUUGAAAACAGAACUUAAAAAGCCUAGACUUGUAAGUACGGUGUUAUUUCUUUUAAUGUAACUUUUUAUACAAUCCAUCGUAAGGUGUAGUUUUUAAGACAAAAAUAGUAAAUGGAUAAGCUCCUGCUCGUCCUUAAUUCGAACCCCUAUGAACUAUGCAGAGGUUACAUAAAUAUUAAAAAAUAACAAGGUACGAUAAUAUAAUAGACAAAAUCUACAAAUUACCCGAAAUUAUACGAGAAAAUAUAAUAAAAACCCUGCUUGGAUAAUUAACUUCCCGGUCACGGUCAAAGACAAAAAAAACGGAUAAAGUCACAAAACGUUUUUGCCUUAUGGCUUGCCUUACUUUGGAAGCGCUACUAGAAAAAACCUUGAUUUCGUUAGGUCUUCUGAACCUCAACUUCAAACCUUGAGGCGCUCCGCCGGUGCUCCGUCUUCCCGCGCGGGUCCCCCCAUCCGCGCGCGGGGGUGGGAGUACCCGGGGUGCUUCGAGUUGGCUGCAUGAAGAAAGCGGAUAUAUAUGAGAAUAUGGGAUUUUUGUAGUUCACCUCGGUGCUUUGGUGAAAAGGUGGCGGCGUUGGAAGACGUGGGCACUCUAGGGUAGAACCCCGGAAAAAGCCGCUAGACGGCCUCCCCCUUAGCUAGUGCCUCCCGAAGAUGUAGUUGUGGUAUCGGAGAGGCUACUACACACUCAUCAAAUGGUGUCUGGAAGCCCAGGUAUUAAUAAUCUAUCUACCGAAGAAGAGAGAGAAACCAAGAGUUAUGUUUCAAGAGAAACUACAAGAACCUCUAGAUAAGCUACAUUAUUAAAAACAACACACAAACGGCUCUAGGCUACUUAACACCUAAAUACUGGUUCAAAUAGAUACUCAUUAUAAACCAAGAAGAGGAUUAAGAAUAUACAUACCAAACUAUAGAAACGUUCAGAGAAGCUUAAUAGUCAAAUCAAACCGGAUGAUCUAACUAGAAAGAACGUAACCCUCUUUACGAAUCGAAACCCAAGUUAGAACGCCACAGGAAAGGGUCACUGUCAUCCCCGUCGUUCCGUGUAUAACAUAACAACGGUAACUCCUAUUUUUUACCCCAAAUAUAGUAUAACGAACUCAAUAGGGAGAUGUAGUACAGUAGAACGAAUUACGUAAUGAGACAAAAAUACCUGAAUUUUGAGAUAUACGUAUGACCUAUCGCCAGCUACACACCUCAUUAUCAUCAUCUACGUCUUAGCAAAGCCAGAUGAACUGUGUCUGCAGUACGGAUAUAAGUACUAGUAACGGAUUUAUAAGAGUAUUGAUACGCUAGAAGAUAGUUAACGAGCUGUCAUUAAACAAGUGGGUGGCAUUAUAUACGAUAGAACUCUCUUCGAUCAUUACUUUGGAUACGGGGAGUCCAAAUAAAAGGUAGUAUAUUAGAAGAUAAAAUGUAGUAUAUUCAAAGACUAGAUGUUAAGAUGAAAGGAUAAAUAAAAUAAAACGUUAGAAAUGAAAGGGUAGAUAUGUUGUUUUUAUAGUUUUUAUAAAUAGAAUGAUAGAAAUAAUCUAGAGUGAAAACGCUCACUGGCACUUCCCUAACUGUUGGGGAAAUAGCGCAACCAACGUUCUAAGAACUAACAAACACGUCCAUGAUCCACUGAACGCACAAUAAAGGAUGACCUAACUAUGGAACCAAGAAUUUUUGACUACCUUUAUGAAUGCGAUGAAACGACGUAGUCGGAAAGGAGAAGUUCCUUUUGGUUGUGUACGAGUUCUCCAUCGUCGCCCCACACGAGGUCAGUCGCCAUGACGAAGGACAUCGAGAGUGGUAGAAUUAGUGGAUAUGCAAGACCCGACGGUCGCCCCCUAGUCUGAAGUUUAAGGAAUAUGGAAAACGUAAGUGUUCGGACUCACAACGACAACAUAUAGAAAAGCUCGUC
RNAcentral lists this ribosomal RNA (3245 nucleotides) under Triticum aestivum (bread wheat). RNAcentral's name for it is "partial small subunit ribosomal RNA". Lineage: Eukaryota; Viridiplantae; Streptophyta; Magnoliopsida; Poales; Poaceae. The record is from RNAcentral.